Molecule: transfer RNA, 72 nt
Filed under: Ovis aries (sheep)
Lineage: Eukaryota; Metazoa; Chordata; Mammalia; Artiodactyla; Bovidae
Rfam family: tRNA
About the family: Transfer RNA (tRNA) molecules are approximately 80 nucleotides in length. Their secondary structure includes four short double-helical elements and three loops (D, anti-codon, and T loops). Further hydrogen bonds mediate the characteristic L-shaped molecular structure. tRNAs have two regions of fundamental functional importance: the anti-codon, which is responsible for specific mRNA codon recognition, and the 3' end, to which the tRNAs corresponding amino acid is attached (by aminoacyl-tRNA synthetases). tRNAs cope with the degeneracy of the genetic code in two manners: having more than one tRNA (with a specific anti-codon) for a particular amino acid; and 'wobble' base-pairing, i.e. permitting non-standard base-pairing at the 3rd anti-codon position.
Source: Rfam by way of RNAcentral
UCCCUAGUGGUCCAGUGGUUAGGACUCAGCACUUUUACUGCCACGGCCUGGGUUCAGUCCUUGGUUGGGGAA